CUGGCGGCAUGCCUAACACAUGCAAGUCGAACGGUAACGCGAGGAGCUUGCUCCUUGGCGACGAGUGGCGGACGGGUGAGUAAUGCUUGGGAAUCUGCCCAGUAGUGGGGGACAACACGAGGAAACUCGUGCUAAUACCGCAUACGUCCUACGGGAGAAAGUGGGGGAUCUUCGGACCUCACGCUACUGGAUGAGCCCAAGUCGGAUUAGCUUGUUGGUGGGGUAAAGGCCUACCAAGGCAACGAUCCGUAGCUGGUCUGAGAAGACGAUCAGCCACACUGGGACUGAGACACGGCCCAGACUCCUACGGGAGGCAGCAGUGGGGAAUAUUGGACAAUGGGGGCAACCCUGAUCCAGCAAUGCCGCGUGUGUGAAGAAGGCCUGCGGGUUGUAAAGCACUUUCAGUAGGGAAGAAAUGCCUGGAGUUAAUAGCUCCGGGUCUUGACGUAACCUACAGAAGAAGCACCGGCUAACUCCGUGCCAGCAGCCGCGGUAAUACGGAGGGUGCGAGCGUUAAUCGGAAUUACUGGGCGUAAAGCGCGCGUAGGCGGCUAGGUCAGUCGAAUGUGAAAGCCCUGGGCUUAACCUGGGAAUUGCAUCCGAUACUGCUUGGCUAGAAUAUGGGA
Molecule: ribosomal RNA, 626 nt
Filed under: uncultured gamma proteobacterium DSS65
Lineage: Bacteria; Pseudomonadati; Pseudomonadota; Gammaproteobacteria
Description: bacterial SSU rRNA
Rfam family: Bacterial small subunit ribosomal RNA
Source: RNAcentral